AUGGCGAAGGAGGAAGACCAGGAAGCCCGCUCCCAGGCUGAUAAAGGACUGCCAAGUGUGCGGGAACAGCGCCAGGUGGGCCGCAGGCCGCAGCAAGCUGUGCUGCCAGGCAGACAGAGUCAGGAUUUGUCUGUUCGUGGGAUCCAUCUUCCACCAGUGCCCCACCCGGUGAGAGCACAAGCCUCUGGGAGCCGCCGUGCACAGGCGGACAGAAUGGAAGGGAGACGGCCUCUGCCAGCCUUGCCACCUCUCCCACGGCGGGCGCAGUCACUGCCAGCUGCGCCCCGGAAUGCAGCCACUGCUCGGGGACGAGUUCACGCAUUCUCACUGCCAGCAAUAGCUUUCGGGAGUAUCCCAAGAGGCAGAGCUGCCCCUGGUCUUCAGUACCAGGAAACGGCAGUGAGGGCCGAGGGCUGGCAGGCAGAUCUAUCUGUCCCUGCACUCCCCCUCAGGCCUGCAGAGAAGACACCCGAGUCCCUCAGGCUGGCAUAUCGGAUGCGUCCAGCAGCCAUAAGAUCAGGACCCUGGCUGAAGCGAACACGGCCUGGGCGAUGUGCACCCACCAGCACUGUGAGACCAUCAGCACGAACAACCCAGGUGCUGGCCCUCAAGGCUGGGAAAGGUCCCGAGGAAGAGACACAACCUGCUGCCAGUGCUCAGGAGGGCACCGAAGAUGCUGACAGGAUUUCUACAUCAUGCUCCCUGGCAGCAGAGCAGGCAGCAGAGCAGGAAGCAGAGCAGGAAGCAGAGCAGGCAGCAGAGCAGGCAGCAGAGCAGGAAGCAGAGCAGGCAUCAGAGCAGGCAGCAGAUGAUGGUGCCAAAGGUGCUGGCACUUCUCAGGCCAUGCUGGAUGCCAAGAGCAGCAAAGAGAGGGCCCGCUCCACCAGGAAAGGGGGCAGCUUCCUGCCCUGCUGUCUUUCCUCUUCUACCUCCAGUGCUGUUCUGACAGAUCAGCAGGAAGAAAAGAAAGACAUCGCUGAGAGAGACACUGUGGCAGUGGCAGGCAAGGAGCCUGUGAGCACAUCAUUGCCUGGGGCAGAGUCCCUGCCUCCAGCAUCUCCAGUGCCUGGAAACCUUCAGCGCAAGGUGGACAGCCUGGAGAUCGGGGACACAGUCAGCCACAGCAGCAUCUCAGGGGAGGGGAGAGAGCCUCUGCCAACUUGUGGAACAUCCCUGGAUGUCCCUGCACACCUUCUCAAGCCUGCACAUGCCACACACAAGUACUACAACUUAACAUCCAUAAGGCGUCCCGUAGCCACCAGAAAAACCAGCAGGUCCAUGGCAGCGCGCACCCAACAGCAUUAAGGAAACACCAGCACAAGCAGCCCAAGUGCUGGCCCCCCAGACUGGGAGCAGCCCCACAUGUCGGAUACCACCAGCUCCCAGUGCUUAUCUUUCCUGUUUGUGUACACAUUGCUUCUCACCUAGCAUUUAGAUGACCAUCCCGUACAGGGAUUCCUAAUUUGGCUAAAUCUGGCUUUUCAAUCUGGAACUGAAGAAGCAGUAUAUGUAUUCUCUACAGCACAGAUAACAUACUUUGCUUCCUCUGUUCCUCUGAUUUCGGUUUCCAAAAGUACAAUAAAAUUAUUGAGUUCCAUUUUAAAUUUUCCA
Coturnix japonica (Japanese quail) is the source of this 1611-nucleotide long non-coding RNA. Ensembl lists it as uncharacterized. The record is from Ensembl. Lineage: Eukaryota; Metazoa; Chordata; Aves; Galliformes; Phasianidae.